Molecule: unclassified non-coding RNA, 235 nt
Filed under: plant metagenome
Description: partial contains small subunit ribosomal RNA, internal transcribed spacer 1, and 5.8S ribosomal RNA
Source: RNAcentral
UUUCCGUAGUGAACCUGCGGAAGGAUCAUUACUGAGUGAGGGCCCCUCGGGGUCCAACCUCCCACCCGUGUUUAACGAACCUUGUUGCUUCGGCGGGCCCGCCUCACGGCCGCCGGGGGGCAUCUGCCCCCGGGCCCGCGCCCGCCGAAGCCACCUGUGAACGCUGUCUGAAGUAUGCAGUCUGAGACAAUUAUUAAAUUAAUUAAAACUUUCAACAACGGAUCUCUUGGUUCCG